Molecule: small RNA, 705 nt
Filed under: Nymphaea lingulata
Lineage: Eukaryota; Viridiplantae; Streptophyta; Magnoliopsida; Nymphaeales; Nymphaeaceae
Description: eukaryotic LSU rRNA
Rfam family: 5.8S ribosomal RNA (bases 298-453)
Source: RNAcentral
GGAAGGAUCAUUGUUGUUUCCUAUUGGAUAGACCUGCGAACAUGUUAUCUUUGCUCCCUCAUGCAGAGGGGAGCAUUCAUGCCUUGACAGGGCGUGGUGCUUUCCUUUGUUACUGGCCUUUUGUCCUUGCUCUGGACAUUUGUCUCCACUGGGGAUGGUGCUUCGAGCAAGUGCAAGGCCAAACUUAACAAAAAAAUCGGCGUUUUUAAGCGCCAAGGAACUUUUGAUUGAAAGGAGAGGGCAUCCCGCCUCACGAAAGUGUGGGUGGAGACAUCCCUUUUCCCCUUCCAUUAUAACGACUCUCGGCAACGGAUAUCUUGGCUCCCGCCACGAUGAAGAACGUAGCGAAAUGCGAUACUUGGUGUGAAUUGCAGAAUCCCGUGAAUCAUCGAGUUUUUGAACGCAAGUUGCGUCCGAGGCCAUUUGGCUAAGGGCACGCCUGCCUGGGCGUCAAGCUUCGCAUCGCCCUUCCCAUGUCCUUUUGUUUUCGGGCUUAAGGCUGAGGUAGAGCGGAGGACUGGCCUUCGGCGUGAGCCUUCAGGCGCGCCGUUGGUUGAAACAUUUUGGCUUACGACGAUUGGUUGUUGGGCACGCUAAGCGGUGGAUUUGCCAGUGAGUUGUGCCUCAGCUGAUCGAGAAGGCCCAUGGGACUCUUGAGGCAAGCGGCUUAGGUUUCUUGCUUCGGCUUUAGCGACCCCAGGUCAG